Molecule: ribosomal RNA, 500 nt
Filed under: uncultured bacterium
Lineage: Bacteria
Description: partial 16S ribosomal RNA
Rfam family: Bacterial small subunit ribosomal RNA
Source: RNAcentral
AUUGAACGCUGGCGGCAUGCUUUACACAUGCAAGUCGAACGGUAACAGGGUGCUUGCACCGCUGACGAGUGGCGAACGGGUGAGUAAUGCGUCGGAACGUGCCGAGUAGUGGGGGAUAACGCAGCGAAAGUUGUGCUAAUACCGCAUACGUACUGAGGUAGAAAGUGGGGGACCUUCGGGCCUCACGCUAUUCGAGCGGCCGACGUCUGAUUAGCUAGUAGGUGAGGUAAAGGCUCACCUAGGCGACGAUCAGUAGCGGGUCUGAGAGGAUGAUCCGCCACACUGGGACUGAGACACGGCCCAAACUCCUACGGGAGGCAGCAGUGGGGAAUUUUGGACAAUGGGCGAAAGCCUGAUCCAGCCAUGCCGCGUGUCUGAAGAAGGCCUUCGGGUUGUAAAGCACUUUAAGUUGGGAGGAAGGGUUGUAGAUUAAUACUCUGCAAUUUUGACGUUACCGACAGAAUAAGCACCGGCUAACUCUGUGCCAGCCGCCGCCGUAA